Molecule: long non-coding RNA, 694 nt
Organism: Panthera uncia (snow leopard)
Lineage: Eukaryota; Metazoa; Chordata; Mammalia; Carnivora; Felidae
Exons: 2
Source: RefSeq, a predicted model, not a curated record
AUUCUGUACAAGAUCCUGAAUGUGAAGUGAAUCAAUAAAUGGUCGGUUGACUGGAUCAUCCCUACUGGUCAUCUACAAAGCAUCAAUAAAACAAACUCAUCUUUGAUCGCCCAGACAGACGUGAUGUAUCCACAGUGAAAUGAGCAAGGUCUUGAGUUGGGUGGCACGUGGAAGAUGUGUAAUGCAUCACUCUCCCAUCUGGGCUCCAUACAUCGACAGUGGCAUGCAGAGGGGACAAGGGUGAGGCGAGGUCUGGAGAUCAAGCAGGCCUUUGCCAUAUUUGAAGAGUCAGUGGCUGCUUGGUACAAAAGAGAAAAGACUCUGUGGAGAGGGUAUGAAGCUGUCUCAAAGUGGAUCUGGGGAAGAAGGCAGAACCAUCCUUAAUGGAGAGAAGACUUCGUGUCAGUAUCAGGCGAUAGUUCCUUAGGAAUCCAGGUUGACAGACACUCUACCAUCACUGAGCUGACUCACCGGGAACCCAGGACCUCCAGGACCCCUGUAACAAGAGAAGAGAAGGCAUGGAGGGAGGACACGGACUCCUGAAUGCUUCAGCUCACUAGUGAUAUCACCUCAUUUCUGCUCUCAGCGCCUUUGCCAGAACCAGUCACCUGGCCUCCAUCUAACCAACAGGGAGGCUGGGAAAUGAGGAAGAACCAUUUGAUUAUUAUCAGUGAACAAUAAAUAUCUAAAUGUC